Molecule: long non-coding RNA, 892 nt
Filed under: Sorghum bicolor (sorghum)
Lineage: Eukaryota; Viridiplantae; Streptophyta; Magnoliopsida; Poales; Poaceae
Description: long non-coding RNA (SBIC_LNC016779)
Source: RNAcentral
CAAGGCGGGUUCGCAGAUCUUCAGCGAGGGCGGGCUGGACUACCUGGGCAACCCGAGCCUGAUCCACGCGCAGAGCAUCCUCGCCAUCUGGGCCUGCCAGGUCGUGCUCAUGGGCGCCGUCGAGGGGUACCGCAUCGCCGGCGGCCCACUCGGCGAGGUCGUCGACCCGCUCUACCCCGGCGGCAGCUUCGACCCACUCGGCCUCGCCGACGACCCCGAGGCCUUCGCCGAGCUCAAGGUGAAGGAGCUCAAGAACGGCCGCCUUGCCAUGUUCUCCAUGUUCGGAUUCUUCGUCCAGGCCAUCGUCACCGGCAAGGGCCCGCUCGAGAACCUCGCCGACCACCUCGCCGACCCCGUCAACAACAACGCCUGGGCCUACGCCACCAACUUCGUGCCCGGCAAGUGAGGAGGUGUCCGGAUGCAUGUGAGCGCGCGCGCGCACUGGUUUCGGCUUGUACCAUGAUGUAAAUUACUGUACCAGGGUUCAAUCAAGAAGGAAUAACUGUGUUCAUUAUCUCGCGCCGCGUCUAAAUUUCUAAUACGGCUCAUUCUUUUCCUUUUUCAUUCAUCACUGUCGGUUUUAUUUGCGUGAAAAAUCAGGUGUUUGAUUAGAAGAGGGUCGCUGAAUUUACAAAUCAGACUUCAGACAUUUGCUUACCUGACUGAUGGACGCCGUGGGGUAGCACCCUAGCAGUCUAGCACCCAUGCUUCUAGUGAUCAUUACAGUGAGAAGAGUAAAAAGAUCCUGUUUUAGCUGCAUGCUGCAUUGUUGAUCCGUUGUGGGGAUUUUUUUUCGAUUAGUGUAGUCCAGCCAUUGAGCAACCGGUAUUCGACAUUGUCAGAAAACGGAGCUCUGACAGGAUACAAUUUAGUCCCAGUUGUUUUGUUUCUC